AGGAGCCGCGCAGGCCGGAAAAAUGGCGCUUCCCAGUCCUGGAGAGCCGAAGGCCCCGGCGGCGACAAGCGCAGUCAAGUCAGACGGGGAGAUGGUGCUGCCGGGCUUCCCGGACGCAGACAGCUUCGUGAAGUUUGCUCUUGGGUCAGUGGUGGCAGUCACCAAAGCAUCUGGGGGCCUGCCACAGUUUGGUGACGAGUAUGAUUUUUACCGAAGUUUUCCUGGCUUUCAGGCAUUUUGUGAAACACAGGGAGAUAGACUGCUUCAGUGCAUGAGCAGGGUAAUGCAGUACCAUGGGUGUCGAAGCAACAUUAAGGAUCGAAGUAAAGUGACAGAGUUGGAGGACAAGUUUGACUUACUAGUUGAUACCAAUGAUGUUAUUCUGGAAAGAGUGGGUAUUUUACUGGAUGAAGCAUCAGGUGUGCAUAAGAGUCAACAGCCUGUCCUCCCUGCAGGAUUGCAGGUCCCCAAAACAAUAGUGUCCAGCUGGAACCGUAAGGCAGGAGAAUAUAGCAAAAAAACAAAAUCUGAAACCUUCCGGCUGCUUCAUGCAAAAAACAUCAUCCGACCUCAGCUUAAAUUCAAAGAGAAGAUUGACAAUUCCAACACCCCGUUUCUUCCUAAAAUCUUCAUCAAGCCCAAUGCUCAGAAACCCCUCCCUCAGGCGCUCUCUAAAGAAAGGCGGGAGCGCCCGCAGGCUCGGCCCGAGGACUUGGACGUCCCCCCUGCCCUGGCGGAUUUCAUCCAUCAGCAGAGAACCCAGCAGGUGGAGCAGGACAUGUUUGCACAUCCUUAUCAAUAUGAACUAGAUCACUUCACUCCACCAGAUUCAGUCCUUCAAAAGCCACAACCCCAGUUAUACAGACCUGUGGCAGAAACACCCUGCCAUUUUGUAUCCUCCCUGGAUGAACUAGUGGAACUGAACGAAAAGCUCUUGAAUUGUCAAGAAUUUGCUGUAGACUUGGAGCAUCACUCUUACAGGAGCUUCCUAGGGCUGACCUGCCUGAUGCAGAUUUCCACCCGAAGAGAAGACUUCAUUGUUGACACCCUGGAGCUUCGGAGUGACAUGUACAUUCUCAACGAGAGCUUCACAGACCCAGCUAUUGUUAAGGUCUUCCAUGGUGCUGAUUCAGACAUCGAAUGGCUACAGAAAGACUUUGGGCUCUAUGUAGUGAACAUGUUUGAUACCCAUCAGGCAGCACGCCUUCUUAACCUGGGCAGGCACUCACUUGAUCAUCUGCUGAAACGCUACUGCAGUGUGGAAUCAAAUAAGCAGUAUCAGCUGGCUGAUUGGAGAAUACGACCUCUGCCUGAGGAGAUGCUCAACUACGCCCGCGAUGACACCCAUUACCUGCUUUACAUUUAUGAUAAGAUGAGGCUGGAGCUGUGGGAGCGAGGCAACGACCAGCCUGUCCAGUUGCAGGUGGUGUGGCAGCGGAGCAGGGAUGUCUGCCUCAAGAAAUUCAUCAAACCUAUCUUCACGGAUGAGUCCUACCUUGAACUGUAUAGGAAGCAGAAGAAACAUCUCAACACACAGCAGUUGACAGCCUUUCAGCUGCUGUUUGCCUGGAGGGAUAAAACAGCUCGUAGGGAAGAUGAAAGUUAUGGAUAUGUACUGCCAAACCACAUGAUGCUAAAGAUAGCUGAAGAACUGCCUAAGGAGCCUCAGGGCAUCAUAGCUUGCUGUAACCCUGUACCACCUCUUGUACGGCAGCAGAUCAAUGAAAUGCAUCUUCUAAUCCAACAGGCCCGAGAAAUGCCUCUGCUCAAGUCUGAAGUUGCAGCUGGAGUGAAGAAGAGUGGACCACUGCCCAAUCCGGAGAGAUUGGAGAAUGUUCUCUUUGGACCUCACGACUGCUCCCACGCCCCAUCAGAUGGCUAUACUGUCAUCCCAACCAAUGGGCCUAUGCCAGUGCAGAAACAGGCAAGCCUCUUCCCUGACCAAAAAGAAGAGGAGGCCCUGCUGGAUACCAAAUGCCUGGUUGCUACUGCAGUCAUCACAUUAUUUAAUGAACCUAGUGCUGAAGAAAAUGGAAAGGGUCCAUUAACGGUUGCACAGAAAAAAGCCCAGAACAUAAUGGAGUCCUUCGAAAAUCCAUUUAGAAUGUUUCUGCCUUCGCUAGAACACCACGCUCACAUUUCUCAGGCAGCAAAGUUUGAUCCAUCGUCAAAAAUCUAUGAAAUCAGCAACCGUUGGAAGCUGGCAAGCCAGAUACAGGUACAAAAAGAGUCUAAAGAAACUGCCAAGGAGGAGGCAGCUGAGCAAACAGCUGCCCAGGACCAGGCGAAGGAAGAGUACAGAGCAGCAGCGGAACAGGCCGUGUCUGUCCGACAGCAGGCUGCCCUAGAAAACGCUGCCAAGAAGAGAGAACGAACAAGUGACUCAAGGACCACAGAACAGAAACAAGAGAAGAAACGACUCAAAAUUGCCAAGAAACCAAAAGACCCAGAUCCACCAGAAAAAGACUUUACCCCUUAUGACUACAGCCAGUCGGAUUUCAAGGCUUUUGCUGGAAACAGCAAAUCCAAACCUUCUUCCCAGUUUGAUCCAAGUAAGCAGACCCAGUCUGGCAAGAAAUGCAUUGCGGCCAAAAAGCUUAAACAGUCAAUGGGAAACAAAAGCAUGUCGUUCCCAGCCGGAAAGUCAGACAGAGGUUUCAGGCACAACUGGCCAAAGAGAUAGUGUUAGAAGAGAGCCUUGGGAUCCGUCGGUGGACUGGACGCACCACAUGCCGCUCUGGCAGGAGAGGACAGAUGUCAUCCUGUUCAGAUCACCAUCUUCGGCUGUCUGUGGGUAAGACAGAAGGAUACGGUGAUUUCUGGAGAAAUCCAGAACCACCUCCGAGGAGAAAUGCUGGAGAAUCUCCUGACUCGGAGAAGGGCGGGGUCCGCAAGGCUCGGAGCUUGAUGCGUCAGCUGCACUGUAAGAGGGCUCUCAGCACUUUCCUCCCUCCACCUGCCUCCACGUGAUGUGAGUGCACCGGAUGUAAAAUACCGUGGGGAGAGGAGCUGGUGGGGUGCUUGAGAGCCAGCGCGGCUUCUGGCACCCGUGGGCUCUUCUCUGUCCCUUUCUCUCUGUUUUUUUUUUGUUUUUUAAAGAUUUUA
Molecule: RNA transcript, 3105 nt
Organism: Equus quagga
Lineage: Eukaryota; Metazoa; Chordata; Mammalia; Perissodactyla; Equidae
Gene: EXOSC10
Gene name: exosome component 10
Exons: 26
Source: RefSeq, a predicted model, not a curated record